CGCGUAGGCGGCCAGUGCAAGUCAGUUGUGAAAUCUCCGAGCUUAACUCGGAAAGGUCAACUGAUACUGCUCGGCUAGAGUGCGGAAGGGGCAACUGGAAUUCUUGGUGUAGCGGUGAAAUGCGUAGAUAUCAAGAGGAACACCUGCGGCGAAGGCGGGUUGCUGGGCCGACACUGACGCUGAGGCGCGAAAGCUAGGGAGCGAAC
Molecule: ribosomal RNA, 206 nt
Filed under: uncultured bacterium
Lineage: Bacteria
Description: partial 16S ribosomal RNA
Rfam family: Bacterial small subunit ribosomal RNA
Source: RNAcentral